RNAcentral lists this ribosomal RNA (490 nucleotides) under uncultured bacterium. RNAcentral describes it as "partial 16S ribosomal RNA". It matches the Rfam family "Bacterial small subunit ribosomal RNA", at positions 30 to 507 of the family's 1533-position model. The record is from RNAcentral.
AUUGAACGCUGGCGGCAGGCCUAACACAUGCAAGUCGAACGGUAACAUGAAGAAGCUUGCUUCUUUGCUGACGAGUGGCGGACGGGUGAGUAAUGUCGGGGAAACUGCCUGAUGGAGGGGGAUAACUACUGGAAACGGUAGCUAAUACCGCAUAAUGUCGCAAGACCAAAGAGGGGGACCUUCGGGCCUCUUGCCAUCGGAUGUGCCCAGAUGGGAUUAGCAAGUAGGUGGGGUAACGGCUCACCUAGGCGACGAUCCCUAGCUGGUCUGAGAGGAUGACCAGCCACACUGGAACUGAGACACGGUCCAGACUCCUACGGGAGGCAGCAGUGGGGAAUAUUGCACAAUGGGCGAAAGCCUGAUGCAGCAAUGCCGCGUGUAUGAAGAAGGCCUUCGGGUUGUAAAGUACUUUCAGCGGGGAGGAAGGAAGUAAAGUUAAUACCUUUGCUCAUUGACGUUACCCGCAGAAGAAGCACCGGCUAACUCCGUG